AUGAAGAUCCAAUAGCCCAUAUUCAUUCUAAUGGUGAUUAGGCUUGAUUUGGGCACUAUAGCAUGCGAUCAGAUAGCUCUGGUGUGAGUCAGUCAUGAUCGGAUGGUCCAAAAUUAUUUUAAGAUUUGAUUUGAGCUCGGUAUCCUAGUGAAACACUGGUUUGAGAUGUUUGGAGCCUAUAUAGCUUCGAUUGAUGAGCCAUUUAUUGCGUCAG
Molecule: long non-coding RNA, 214 nt
Filed under: Elaeis guineensis (African oil palm)
Lineage: Eukaryota; Viridiplantae; Streptophyta; Magnoliopsida; Arecales; Arecaceae
Description: long non-coding RNA (EGUI_LNC042972)
Source: RNAcentral